GUUUUUCAGUCAUCCAACUUCGUAAAACCAGAACAGAACAGAGUACAAAACUAAGGGUUUUAUCAUAUUUGAAAAGUAUCUCAAGGUACUACUUUUUUAGCUAAAAAGAGUGGAACCUUGAGGUACCUUUUCAAAUUUCAAAGCUCUAAAACUAAACACCAUCAUCUAAUAUGUUAUACGUAAGAUAAGAUGCCACUGAAGCCGUAAAUAAUCGAUCGUUGUGUUCAACGCCUUCCGGCUUUUGACUUAACUGGAGCAAACAUGUCGUAGAGAAGACCGCAGUUAAUAACUGCAAAUGCGAAAAAUGGGAUUAGCAUAGGUGACAGUCAAAUUGCACAAAUCCAAGAUAUCAAAAGUCGAUCAAUCACGUCACGUACCCUUGUUCAAGAAAAUAUCAG
Molecule: long non-coding RNA, 398 nt
Filed under: Oryza brachyantha (malo sina)
Lineage: Eukaryota; Viridiplantae; Streptophyta; Magnoliopsida; Poales; Poaceae
Description: long non-coding RNA (OBRA_LNC003500)
Source: RNAcentral